Molecule: transfer RNA, 76 nt
Filed under: Marinomonas communis
Lineage: Bacteria; Pseudomonadati; Pseudomonadota; Gammaproteobacteria; Oceanospirillales; Oceanospirillaceae
Also listed under: 6 other names
Description: tRNA-Asn
Rfam family: tRNA
About the family: Transfer RNA (tRNA) molecules are approximately 80 nucleotides in length.
Source: RNAcentral
UCCCUGAUAGCUCAGUUGGUAGAGCAAACGACUGUUAAUCGUUAGGUCACUGGUUCGAGUCCAGUUCAGGGAGCCA